RNAcentral lists this ribosomal RNA (417 nucleotides) under uncultured bacterium. RNAcentral's name for it is "bacterial SSU rRNA". It matches the Rfam family "Bacterial small subunit ribosomal RNA", at positions 506 to 921 of the family's 1533-position model. The record is from RNAcentral.
UGCCAGCAGCCGCGGUAAGACAGAGGGUGCAAACGUUGUUCGGAAUUACUGGGCGUAAAGCGCGUGUAGGCGGCUACGCAAGUCGGGUGUGAAAGCCCUCGGCUCAACUGAGGAAGUGCAUUCGAAACUGCGUAGCUUGAGUCUCGGAGAGGAUGGUGGAAUUCUCGGUGUAGAGGUGAAAUUCGUAGAUAUCGAGAGGAACACCGGUGGCGAAGGCGGCCAUCUGGACGAUGACUGACGCUGAGACGCGAAAGCAUGGGGAGCAAACAGGAUUAGAUACCCUGGUAGUCCAUGCUGUAAACGAUGGGUGCUAGGUGUCGCGGGCAUUGACCCCUGCGGUGCCGUAGCAAACGCAUUAAGCACCCCGCCUGGGGAGUACGGCCGCAAGGCUAAAACUUAAAGGAAUUGGCGGGGGAC